RNAcentral lists this long non-coding RNA (311 nucleotides) under Anser brachyrhynchus (Pink-footed goose). Its description in RNAcentral is "lncRNA (ENSABRG00000016584.1)". The record is from RNAcentral. Lineage: Eukaryota; Metazoa; Chordata; Aves; Anseriformes; Anatidae.
AUUCAGUGCUGAAGUGCUUUCUUAACAUUCUUACUGCUCAGUGACAUGGUGUGUUGUUUGUGUCCUGCAAAUUAAUAUUAUCAAGGCCAGUUGCCUGGAGACAGCCCUAGCCUGUGGCCAGCUGAGAUCAGGUCCUCAGGAUCCAUCAGCACAAGAGGACUUAUGGUGACCUUCUGAGGAUCACUGACAUCAGUCACCACUGAAGCACAUACUUCUCCUUCCCUUUAUUCCCUGCCAAAAAUACCAUGGCCAAGGGACACAGGAGACAGGAAGACAGCUCAGGUAGCUUUUGGAAAGUUUCAUCACAGUGC